AAGCAGCUUGUCGCACCAACAGAGAUUCACCUUCCAAGAGUCUGAUCACAAGCAUUUGCUAUCCAGAGCUGAAGAAAUUUUCAAAUGCAGCAACAAGAUGGGGUUGCCAGCAUGAAGAGGUGGCAAGAGACAAAUAUCGGAAAUGGGUAAACACAAACCAUGAAAAUGUUUCAGUAACAAACAGUGGAUUCUGGAUUCAUUUGACCCAUGGAUCUCUUGGUGCUUCUCAAGAUGGGCUUGUCUCUUGCCAAUGUUGUGGCAAUGGGAUUUGGGAAAUAAAGUGUCCAUUUUGCCAUAAAGAUGAGACAGUUGAAACUUCAAUAGAUGAAAGGUUAUGGCUCAGUUGUCAUGCACAGGUUUGAGCUACUGUGAUUUUGUUGUGUGGACAGAGAAAGACUUGUUUGUUGAACGAAUCUUUCAAAAUAACGAAUUUCUAGAAAGGAAGAUAGAGGCAGCAAAGAAAUUUGUGUUGAGGAGACUUCCAGAGUUAACUGGAAAAUGGUACUGAAGACCCAAAAAAUUGAAUAAAUGAAAUAUAAUGAA
This is a long non-coding RNA of Xenia sp. Carnegie-2017, 543 nucleotides long. RefSeq lists it as uncharacterized. The transcript is spliced from 3 exons. Lineage: Eukaryota; Metazoa; Cnidaria; Anthozoa; Malacalcyonacea; Xeniidae. The record is from RefSeq and is a predicted model, not a curated record.